RNAcentral lists this long non-coding RNA (466 nucleotides) under Homo sapiens (human). Its description in RNAcentral is "non-protein coding lnc-PDE1A-1:2". The record is from RNAcentral. Lineage: Eukaryota; Metazoa; Chordata; Mammalia; Primates; Hominidae.
UCUUUGUGCUUCGUAAGAGAGUCAAUCCUGGAGUGACGUGAGUAGCAGAAUGCCAAGUCUAUGAGUCACGUGAUAACUACUGGACAUGCACAUGAGAAUAUGACGAGGAUGGUGCCUUAGAAUGGGGAUUCUCAAUCUGAGGUAGGAAGACAUGAUGAGCCACAAAAUUCUUAUUACACAUUAAAAUGAAGAUUAAGAAUUACUGAUAGAAUUCAGAUUUGAAGGGGCAUAUGGUGUAAGUUUAGCCCAACCAAAGUGGAAAUGUUAACAGAAGGACGUGGCAGGCAUCCUACAGAGGCAGCUUAUCAUGAAUGCUGCUCAGCUUACUUUCUCAGAGAAUCCAGAAGUCACUACAAUAGUUGUUACUAACGGCUGGUCAAUGUGCUCCAGGAAAGGCUGCCCACAUUUGUCUUUUUGAUGGCUUCCAGCCAAUCAGCUUACCAAAGAAAAGUUAAACAAAACACAC